GAUUAACGCUGGCGGCGUGCAUAACACUUGCAAGUCGAACGAUGAAACUUUACUGACUUCUUCGGAAUGAUUUAAAGCGGAUUAGUGGCGAACGGGUGAGUAACGCGUGAGUAACCUGCCUUACACAAGGGGAUAGCCUCUGGAAACGGAGAAUAAUACCCUAUGAAACCAGACAAUCGCAUGAUAAUCUGGUCAAAAUGUUUAGUGGUGUAAGAUGGACUUGCGUCUGAUUAGCUAGUUGGUGAGAUAAAAGCUCACCAAGGCAACGAUCAGUAGCCGGCUUGAGAGAGUGUACGGCCACAUUGGGACUGAGACACGGCCCAGACUCCUACGGGAGGCAGCAGUGGGGAAUUUUGCACAAUGGGGGAAACCCUGAUGCAGCGACGCCGCGUGAUUUAGAAGGCCUUCGGGUUGUAAAAAUCUUUUGUAUAGGAAGAAAAUGACAGUACUAUACGAAUAAGGUCCGGCUAAUUACGUG
This 478-nucleotide ribosomal RNA is filed under the name uncultured bacterium. RNAcentral describes it as "partial 16S ribosomal RNA". It matches the Rfam family "Bacterial small subunit ribosomal RNA", at positions 28 to 507 of the family's 1533-position model. The record is from RNAcentral.